UCCCAUGCUGUGACCCUCUCAAGGGAAGCACUUUCUAUUGUCUGCAAAAAAAAGGCGCUUCCCUUGAGAGUGUCACGGUUUGAGG
Callithrix jacchus (white-tufted-ear marmoset) is the source of this 85-nucleotide non-coding RNA. Lineage: Eukaryota; Metazoa; Chordata; Mammalia; Primates; Cebidae. The record is from Rfam.